Molecule: transfer RNA, 73 nt
Filed under: Polulichloris maxima
Lineage: Eukaryota; Viridiplantae; Chlorophyta; Trebouxiophyceae; Watanabeales; Watanabeaceae
Description: tRNA-Ala
Rfam family: tRNA
About the family: Transfer RNA (tRNA) molecules are approximately 80 nucleotides in length.
Source: RNAcentral
GGGGGCUUAGCUUAGUUGGUAGAGCGCUGCUUUUGCACGGCAGAGGUCGGCGGUUCGAAUCCGCCAGUCUCCA